UACGAAGGGGGCGAGCGUUGUUCGGAUUUACUGGGCGUAAAGGGCGCGCAGGCGGCCGUGUGUGUGAGGCGUGAAAGCCCGGGGCUUAACCCCGGAAUUGCACCUCAAACUACAUGGCUAGAGCAUUGGAGAGGGUAGCGGAAUUCACGGUGUAGCAGUGAAAUGCGUAGAUAUCGUGAGGAACACCAGAGGCGAAGGCGGCUACCUGGACAAGUGCUGACGCUCAGGCACGAAAGCGUGGGGAGCAAAAGGG
RNAcentral lists this ribosomal RNA (253 nucleotides) under uncultured bacterium. Its description in RNAcentral is "partial 16S ribosomal RNA". It matches the Rfam family "Bacterial small subunit ribosomal RNA", at positions 524 to 776 of the family's 1533-position model. The record is from RNAcentral.